UACAGGGGGGGCAAGCGUUGUUCGGAAUUACUGGGCGUAAAGGGUUCGUAGGUGGCCAACUAAGUCAGACGUGAAAUCCCUCAGCUUAACUGGGGAACUGCGUCUGAUACUGGAUGGCUUGAGUGCAGGAGAGGAACGCGGAAUUCCAGGUGUAGCGGUGAAAUGCGUAGAUAUGCGGAGGAACACCGAUGGCGAAGGCAAUCCCCUGGGCCUGCACUGACGCUCAUGCACGAAAGCGUGGGGAGCAAACAGG
RNAcentral lists this ribosomal RNA (253 nucleotides) under uncultured bacterium. Its description in RNAcentral is "partial 16S ribosomal RNA". It matches the Rfam family "Bacterial small subunit ribosomal RNA", at positions 524 to 776 of the family's 1533-position model. The record is from RNAcentral.